Molecule: ribosomal RNA, 455 nt
Filed under: uncultured Sphingobacteriales bacterium
Lineage: Bacteria; Pseudomonadati; Bacteroidota; Sphingobacteriia; Sphingobacteriales
Description: bacterial SSU rRNA
Rfam family: Bacterial small subunit ribosomal RNA
Source: RNAcentral
ACAAGCGGAGGAGCAUGUGGUUUAAUUCGAUGAUACGCGAGGACCUUACUGGGCUCGAACGUAAGAUGACUGUAGGUGAAAGCUUACAUCUCUUCGGAGCAUUUUUACGAGGUGCUGCAUGGUUGUCGUCAGCUCGUGCCGUGAGGUGUCGGGUUAAGUCCCAUAACGAGCGCAACCCUACCUUUAGUUGCCAUCAGGUAAUGCUGGGGACUCUAAAGGAACUGCCUACGCAAGUAGUGAGGAAGGCGGGGAUGACGUCAAAUCAGCACGGCCCUUACGUCCAGGGCUACACACGUGCUACAAUGGCCGAUACAGAGGGCAGCUACCUGGUGACAGGAUGCAAAUCUCCAAAGUCGGUCUCAGUUCGGAUCGGAGUCUGCAACCCGACUCCGUGAAGUUGGAUUCGCUAGUAAUCGCGCAUCAGCCAUGGCGCGGUGAAUACGUUCCCGGGCCUU